UAAGCAUAUCAAUAAGCGGAGGAAAAGAAACCAACAGGGAUUACCUCAGUAACGGCGAGUGAAGCGGUAACAGCUCAAAUUUGAAAUCUGGGUCUUUCAGGCUCCGAGUUGUAAUUUGUAGAAGAUGCUUUGGGUGCGGCCCCGGUCUAAGUUCCUUGGAACAGGACGUCAUAGAGGGUGAGAAUCCCGUAUGUGAUCGGUGGCUUGCGCCCGUGUAAAGCUCUUUCGACGAGUCGGGUUGUUUGGGAAUGCAGCUCUAAAUGGGUGGUAAAUUUCAUCUAAAGCUAAAUAUUGGCCAGAGACCGAUAGCGCACAAGUAGAGUGAUCGAAAGAUGAAAAGGACUUUGGAAAGAGAGUUAAACAGUACGUGAAAUUGUUGAAAGGGAAGCGCUUGCAACCAGACUUGCGCGGGGUUGAUCAUCCGGGGUUCUCCCCGGUGCACUCGGCCUCGCUCAGGCCAGCAUCGGUUUCGGUGGUUGGAUAAAGGCCUUGGGAAUGUGACUUCUUUCGGGGAGUGUUAUAGCCCUCGGUGCAAUGCAGCCUACCGGGACCGAGGACCGCGCUUCGGCUAGGAUGCUGGCGUAAUGGUUGUAAGCGACCCGUCUUGAAACACGGACCAAGGAGUCUAACAUCUAUGCGAGUGUUUGGGUGUCAAACCCAUACGCGUAAUGAAAGUGAACGGAGGUGAGAACCCUUAAGGGUGCAUCAUCGACCGAUCCUGAUGUCUUCGGAUGGAUUUGAGUAAGAGCAUAGCUGUUGGGACCCGAAAGAUGGUGAACUAUGCCUGAAUAGGGUGAAGCCAGAGGAAACUCUGGUGGAGGCUCGCAGCGGUUCUGACGUGCAAAUCGAUCGUCAAAUUUGGGCAUAGGGGCGAAAGACUAAUCGAACCAUCUAGU
Molecule: ribosomal RNA, 896 nt
Filed under: Pezicula sporulosa
Lineage: Eukaryota; Fungi; Ascomycota; Leotiomycetes; Helotiales; Dermateaceae
Description: LSU rRNA
Rfam family: Eukaryotic large subunit ribosomal RNA
Source: RNAcentral